Peromyscus maniculatus bairdii (prairie deer mouse) is the source of this 293-nucleotide non-coding RNA. Lineage: Eukaryota; Metazoa; Chordata; Mammalia; Rodentia; Cricetidae. The record is from RefSeq and is a predicted model, not a curated record.
UGCUGAGCUUGUUGUCUUAGAAUCCCUCUGAGGAUGGAGGAGGCCAGAUGUAGCCACACCUGUGGCUAUGGGACCGGCUCCUCUCCUCGGCAGGAGAGGAGUGCUGGCUUUUUAGAACCUGCUAGUUGCUUUCUGAAAGGCCUCCAUGGUCCAUCAUUUGCAGCUUCUGGAAAUACAGUAAGAUGCAAUAUCAUCACUAUGACUGAUUGAACAAUGAAACUGUGAGCCAAAUCAAACCUUUCUUUAAGUUGUUUUGUCAGGAACCAGCUGUGGGAUGCUGUGCUACACACAGG